GACGAACGCUGGCGGCGUGCCUAAUACAUGCAAGUGGGACGCAAGAGAACACACUGUGCUUGCACACCGUGUUUUCUUGAGUCGCGAACGGGUGAGUAACGCGUAGGUAACCUGCCUAUUAGCGGGGGAUAACUAUUGGAAACGAUAGCUAAUACCGCAUAAUAUUAAUUAUUGCAUGAUAAUUGAUUGAAAGAUGCAAGCGCAUCACUAGUAGAUGGACCUGCGUUGUAUUAGCUAGUUGGUAAGGUAAGGGCUUACCAAGGCGACGAUACAUAGCCGACCUGAGAGGGUGAUCGGCCACACUGGGACUGAGACACGGCCCAGACUCCUACGGGAGGCAGCAGUAGGGAAUCUUCGGCAAUGGACGAAAGUCUGACCGAGCAACGCCGCGUGAGUGAAGAAGGUUUUCGGAUCGUAAAGCUCUGUUGUAAGUCAAGAACGUGUGUGAGAGUGGAAAGUCACACAGUGACGGUAGCU
This 477-nucleotide ribosomal RNA is filed under the name Streptococcus mutans. RNAcentral's name for it is "bacterial SSU rRNA". It matches the Rfam family "Bacterial small subunit ribosomal RNA", at positions 28 to 480 of the family's 1533-position model. Lineage: Bacteria; Bacillati; Bacillota; Bacilli; Lactobacillales; Streptococcaceae. The record is from RNAcentral.